CUAUUUGCUAAUGUUAGUAAAAUGUAUACCAUAAAGAAAUAAACUUCAGAGGACAUAAAGCACACACCUGGGGGCUACCAACUCGGUUAGCAAAGGUUCUGUUCCUCAGCACUCAAACACCUCCAGCUGAAGUUGGCUCUCCAUGACAACUUUCUGUUCACAACAGAGCUACACACCAGGACAGGAUGGGUACCACCCUUCCUUGCAGUGUGACAAAUAUUUGUGGAGGAACGGAUUCAUUUCCUUUUAAGCUGGUCUGCAGAGAAAGUCCCCUUUUUUCAUGAGAAAUGGAUGGAAAGAGAGGGUGAAUGGAGGGAGGAGAGGACAGGAGGGUCACACCUCACGUGGAGGCACAGGUACUCUCCAGCAUCCACAAAGGUUGAAGAACUACCUCCACCACUCGGGAAAGAAGAUCUUUCCAGAGGAAGAAGAGAUUGGGAGUCGGACACUUGGCCUGGACAAAGACUCCCACAGGUAGCUAUUACCUGGAAGACUUCACCUGCCCUCCUCAGCCUUCAUAGCCAGAUGCCACUUCUUUCCACCCAAAGCCUAAGCCCAUUUGUAUUUGUUUAACUCUAUAAAAGCUCCAACACCCUAGCUCUCCCUUGAGCCUCAUGCUUUGUGUAUGGCUCUCAUGUUUCUGCAUAUUAAUAAAUUUGAUAUUUUUUUCUGUUAA
Molecule: non-coding RNA, 676 nt
Organism: Ictidomys tridecemlineatus (thirteen-lined ground squirrel)
Lineage: Eukaryota; Metazoa; Chordata; Mammalia; Rodentia; Sciuridae
Source: RefSeq, a predicted model, not a curated record